UUGGUCUUCAGUCAGACCCCGCCCCGCCCAUGAGGCUCCCCUCGUUUUUCCAGUUAUGGGACUCGAACUCAGGACCUCACUCUCGCCAGCUGAGCUAAUCCCCGGCCUGAGGAUGCUAACUGUGUUGUAAGCUUUGACUUCAGGAACUUCGAACCUGCAGGCUUUGCUGUUUUCCAAGGUCCUGCUGGGGGACCUGAGGUUCCUGCUGAAUUUAGGAGCAGUUGCCUUGGCUACGUCUCGGUUUCCUCCGGCUUCAGGCGCUCAGGGCUGCGGAAGGUCACGGGGGCCUGGGCUCCAGGAGCUGGAGACUGGUGGGAAGGGGCCGCUGGGGCCUGCGCCGUCGGGCUUCUUCCUCCUCGAUCCCACUUCCUGCCUUCCAUGAGGCGAGCGUCUCUCCUCCGCGGCACCCUCCACCGUGCAGUGCGGUGGUGGAGUUGGUAAAUCAGACUGGAAGAAAUGAGGACUGGCAUUCCCUGAAGACCGGAGCACCGGGUGUGAGCAUCGCGCCUGCGCGGGGUGCAGCACGCCACGCGGAAACGCUGCCCAGCGCGGGCCACGCCACGCGCAUGCACAGAGGCCACCAUGGAAGGGUUGGCACGCAAGAGCCACAGGUCAUCAGGAAGGGCCAGAGCCGGGUGUGGUGGCGCACACCCAGGAUCUCAGCACUCAGGAGGCUGAGGCAGGAGGAUCCCCAGAGUUCAAGGCCAGCCUGGGCUAUAUAGGGAGAUCUGGCUCAGAAAAGCAAUCAAUCAAUCAAUAAACAAGGGACGUUCCAAGCCCGGGCUGGCUCUGUAAGUGUUGCCUGGGUCACCUGACUCUGGCGCACCACAGGACGUCCACAGAAUGAAGCCAGCGCAGUGCUGAGGACCUGGCCCGGGGUUCAGAGGUCUGUGACAGUUCUAAGGCCCGUCUCCCACCGCUUUCUUUUGCGCUUGCACAGCCCAUCUUCCCCUUUCCAGGCAUGCACCCAGACAGGAAGCACAGCGGGGCCCAGACAGAGGCAGCAGCCCCACGAGGACCCUUCGUGCCCAGCAGUGCUGGACUCAGGCGUGGGGGAGGGGGGUCCUCGCGGGAUCCUCCUGCCUCAGCCGCCCAAGCAUUGGAUGGUGGACAGAGCUUUAUGUUUUAACUGACCGAGUCACACAGACCCCUUCCAAUGCUCAAGGUGCCCCGAAGGCCGCUGGCCCUGCGCUCACGACAGGGCUGGGCUUCACAUCCUGCUGAGGAGAAGCCGGGUGACGUGGGUCCCGCAUCGGUGAGGGUGGGGCAGCCGGGAGGCUGCUGGCUUGGUGGCCUUCCGUCCCCUUCCGGUCUGUCCCUCGGGCUGUACAAUGCCCAGACUUUGCCUAAAGAAAAACCACCCCACAGCCUCCGCUAAACGAAGUGCUGGCCUGAGCAGGCAGCAGGAGCGCGGCAGCACCAACCAAGCUGAGGGUUCUCGGCUUCCCCUCUGGAUUCCCUGGAGGUGAAACCCCUAACAAAGGGAGCUGCUGGGGCUUGGCCCCAGAGUGCAGUUCAGUGCAGGGGGGGGGGGCGGUGAUGCUGGGAAUUGAACCCAGGGCCUUUCCACUGGCUACAUCCUCCACCACAGUCUUACUUUUAACUUUAGAAUCUCUAAAUUGCCUCCAUGGGACUCGAACGUGCAACCCUCCUGUCUCAGCCUCCCAGAGUGCUGGGAUUACAGGCAUACACCCCAUGCAUAGGUCGUAAAUGUUUUUGAAAAGCUCUCUGAGGUGAUUCUUAAGGGCGGGUGGCAUCCAGCACCAGGGCCAGGCUCUUUCAUUUGCAGAAAGACCUGAAAUUUGUUUGCAAAGGAGCUGUUAGAGCAGACCUGUUAUUUGGUGGUCUCUAACCACUGACCCUGGCUCUGUGUGACCUUUACCGUAGGUAAAUAAUUCUCUUGUCACUAAAGACCUGCAGCCUCAGGCACCUGCUCUGCAGGUGUGGCAGAUGUGAUUCCCACAGCUCCUCCCUCUUGUGUCAGCCCUUUUGUGUCUCCUAAUUGCUCAAAUUCCUGAAGACCCCGCAGCUUCAGGGAAGAAGUAGGAGCUGGAGAGAGAUAACAGCAGCAACCCGACAGUCCUGGCGAGCUGGACCCUAGACCUGGCAGGAGCACAAGAGUGCAGGUAGCUCGCCACGCAUCUGGGCCGAAGAUUCAACUCUGUUUUCCCGUUUUUCAAGUGGAGUUCAUAGUAGCACCCUCACUGUAGUGCCUGAGAAGAUCGAGUUCAUCCAUGGGCAAUAAAUCCCCGCUACCCGGCCACCGAGAAAGCUCAGCCGACAGGGUCACUCAUCACCGUGCGCCAGGCUCCUAGAAAUACAAUGAGGCGUGCUCAUGUUCGCUCUCACUGCUGAAUAGCAUACAUGUCAGGAACCGGGCACAGUGGGCCAGGAGGAUCGCAUGUUCCAGGCCAGACCCUGCCUCAAAAUUUAAAAAAUAAAAAAGAACAGCAAACAAUCCCUAGUACCAGGUUUAAAAGAAUAAAAAAUCAAGGAGAGCGGCAAGGUCUGCAGGAGUGAGGCGGACAGGUCCAUCGCCGGGCCUUCACAUGGAGGGGACACGUGGCCUGACUUAGUGGGGACUGACCACUCACUGUGGUGGCUCCCUCCUGAGUUUACCUGCCUCACUCACGGAGGAGGAGACACACAGGCAUCUGCCUUUCAAAGCCCCAGGUGAGGGCUGGGAUGCUUCAGUGCUGACGUGUGUGUGUGUG
Molecule: long non-coding RNA, 2714 nt
Organism: Cavia porcellus (domestic guinea pig)
Lineage: Eukaryota; Metazoa; Chordata; Mammalia; Rodentia; Caviidae
Exons: 3
Source: RefSeq, a predicted model, not a curated record